This 136-nucleotide small nuclear RNA is filed under the name Sorex araneus (European shrew). RNAcentral describes it as "U2 spliceosomal RNA (ENSSARG00000018079.1)". The stretch from base 1 to 117 matches the Rfam family "U2 spliceosomal RNA". Rfam says of the family: U2 is a small nuclear RNA (snRNA) component of the spliceosome (involved in pre-mRNA splicing). Complementary binding between U2 snRNA (in an area lying towards the 5' end but 3' to hairpin I) and the branchpoint sequence (BPS) of the intron results the bulging out of an unpaired adenosine, on the BPS, which initiates a nucleophilic attack at the intronic 5' splice site, thus starting the first of two transesterification reactions that mediate splicing. Lineage: Eukaryota; Metazoa; Chordata; Mammalia; Eulipotyphla; Soricidae. The record is from RNAcentral.
AUCACUUCUUGGCCUUUUGGCUAAGAUAAAGUGUAGUAUCUAUUCUUAUCAGUUUAAGUUUAAAUUGCUGAUGCAUAUGAUGCCUAUAUAGAAACAAAGGCAUUUUUUACACUUUUAAAAAAAAGACCUAUUGGAA